ACGUGCCCCGCGUCCACUGCGGUUCUGAGCGCGCCGUCCGCACUCAUCUGACAGCUGCUCGCUACGUGUUGUCAGCC
This 77-nucleotide small RNA is filed under the name Xanthomonas oryzae. RNAcentral's name for it is "sX9". It matches the Rfam family "Xanthomonas sRNA sX9". RNAcentral also lists the same sequence under 1 other name. The record is from RNAcentral. Lineage: Bacteria; Pseudomonadati; Pseudomonadota; Gammaproteobacteria; Lysobacterales; Lysobacteraceae.